GUGUUGUAUGAAAGGAGAGAAGGUUAGCACUCCCCUUGACAAGGAUGGAAGAGGUCCUAGUGGCCUUUACAACACAUAUACGGUUAAGGCACUGCCACCUACUUCC
RNAcentral lists this non-coding RNA (106 nucleotides) under Pelobates cultripes (western spadefoot toad). The record is from RNAcentral. Lineage: Eukaryota; Metazoa; Chordata; Amphibia; Anura; Pelobatidae.